GACGAACGCUGGCGGCGUGCCUAAUACAUGCCAGUUGAGCGCUGAAGGUUGGUCCUUGUACCAACUGGAUGAGCAGCGAACGGGUGAGUAACGCGUGGGGAAUCUGCCUUUGAGCGGGGGACAACAUUUGGAAACGAAUGCUAGUACCGCAUAAAAACUUUAAACACAAGUAUUAAGUUUGAAAGAUGCAAUUGCAUCACUCAAAGAUGAUCCCGCGUUGUAUUAGCUAGUUGGUGAGGUAAAGGCUCACCAAGGCGAUGAUACAUAGCCGACCUGAGAGGGUGAUCGGCCACAGUGGGACGGAGACACGGCCCAAACUCCUACGGGAGGCAGCAGUAGGGAAUCUUCGGCAAUGGACAAAAGUCUGACCGAGCAACGCCGCGUGAGUGAAGAAGGUUUUCGGAUCGUAAAACUCGGUUGGUAGAGAAGAACGUUGGUGAGAGUGGAAAGCUCAUCAAGUGACGGUAACUACCCAGAAAGGGACGGCCAACUACGUG
Molecule: ribosomal RNA, 497 nt
Filed under: uncultured bacterium
Lineage: Bacteria
Description: partial 16S ribosomal RNA
Rfam family: Bacterial small subunit ribosomal RNA
Source: RNAcentral